RNAcentral lists this ribosomal RNA (506 nucleotides) under uncultured bacterium. RNAcentral's name for it is "partial 16S ribosomal RNA". It matches the Rfam family "Bacterial small subunit ribosomal RNA", at positions 28 to 523 of the family's 1533-position model. The record is from RNAcentral.
GAUGAACGCUAGCGAUAGGCUUAACACAUGCAAGUCGAGGGGCAGCAUGGUCUUAGCUUGCUAAGACUGAUGGCGACCGGCGCACGGGUGCGUAACGCGUAUGCAACUUGCCUCACAGAGGGGGAUAACCCGUCGAAAGACGAACUAAUACCGCGUACACUUGGAGGGAGGCAUCUCCCAUCAAGGAAAAGAAAUUCGCUGUGAGAUAGGCAUGCGUCCCAUUAGCUAGUUGGUGAGGUAACGGCUCACCAAGGCAACGAUGGGUAGGGGAACUGAGAGGUUGAACCCCCACACUGGUACUGAGACACGGACCAGACUCCUACGGGAGGCAGCAGUGAGGAAUAUUGGUCAAUGGGCGAGAGCCUGAACCAGCCAAGUCGCGUGAAGGAUGACUGUCUUAUGGAUUGUAAACUUCUUUUGUAGGGGAAUAAAGAACGGUGCGUGUACCGUAGUGAAUGUACCCUACGAAUAAGCAUCGGCUAACUCCGUGCCAGCCGCCGCAGUAA